This 30-nucleotide non-coding RNA is filed under the name Mus musculus (house mouse). The record is from RNAcentral. Lineage: Eukaryota; Metazoa; Chordata; Mammalia; Rodentia; Muridae.
UGGGAAUUAAUGCAAAAAGCUAGAGGAAUU